This 218-nucleotide long non-coding RNA is filed under the name Eutrema salsugineum. RNAcentral describes it as "long non-coding RNA (ESAL_LNC001607)". Lineage: Eukaryota; Viridiplantae; Streptophyta; Magnoliopsida; Brassicales; Brassicaceae. The record is from RNAcentral.
ACAGUCAAAUCUUAUUCAUUAAUUAUCAGAUAAACCUCGAAAAGAGCUAAAUCCCCGUAAAUAAGGAAGGUUUUCGAACCUUGACCAAAAAAAAAAGGUUUUCUGAAUUAAUCCUCUUUUAUAAACCCUCAAAAGAAAAGAUUUUCUAAUUUUUGUUUGUGCUCUGUGUUUAAAUAUUUUGAGAUUCAUUGAUCUUAAGAAAACGAUUAAUAAGUCUC